RNAcentral lists this ribosomal RNA (417 nucleotides) under Salmonella enterica subsp. enterica serovar Infantis. Its description in RNAcentral is "bacterial SSU rRNA". It matches the Rfam family "Bacterial small subunit ribosomal RNA", at positions 1 to 414 of the family's 1533-position model. The record is from RNAcentral. RNAcentral also lists the same sequence under 3 other names. Lineage: Bacteria; Pseudomonadati; Pseudomonadota; Gammaproteobacteria; Enterobacterales; Enterobacteriaceae.
AAAUUGAAGAGUUUGAUCAUGGCUCAGAUUGAACGCUGGCGGCAGGCCUAACACAUGCAAGUCGAACGGUAACAGGAAGCAGCUUGCUGCUUUGCUGACGAGUGGCGGACGGGUGAGUAAUGUCUGGGAAACUGCCUGAUGGAGGGGGAUAACUACUGGAAACGGUGGCUAAUACCGCAUAACGUCGCAAGACCAAAGAGGGGGACCUUCGGGCCUCUUGCCAUCAGAUGUGCCCAGAUGGGAUUAGCUUGUUGGUGAGGUAACGGCUCACCAAGGCGACGAUCCCUAGCUGGUCUGAGAGGAUGACCAGCCACACUGGAACUGAGACACGGUCCAGACUCCUACGGGAGGCAGCAGUGGGGAAUAUUGCACAAUGGGCGCAAGCCUGAUGCAGCCAUGCCGCGUGUAUGAAGAAGG